RNAcentral lists this ribosomal RNA (481 nucleotides) under Epidaus nebulo. RNAcentral describes it as "partial 16S ribosomal RNA". It matches the Rfam family "Bacterial large subunit ribosomal RNA", at positions 1850 to 2593 of the family's 2925-position model. Lineage: Eukaryota; Metazoa; Arthropoda; Insecta; Hemiptera; Reduviidae. The record is from RNAcentral.
AGGUCUAACCUGCCCAAUGAUUUAAAUUUAAUGGCCGCGGUAUAUUAACUGUGCUAAGGUAGCAUAAUCAUUUGUCUUUUAAUUGAAGGCUAGUAUGAACGGUUGGACGAGACAUAAACUUUCUUUAACUUAAUUAAUGAACUUAAUUUUUUAGUUAAAAAGCUAAAAUUUGUUUGAGGGACGAGAAGACCCUAUAGAUCUUUAUAUCUGUAAUUAUCAUAUAAUUUAGUGAAUUAAUUAUUAUUAUAAUUAUCUAUAUUUGGUUGGGGUGACUAUAAAAUUUAACUAACUUUUAUUUUUAUUUUUCAUGAAUUAGUGUUUUGUUGAUCCAAGAUUAUUGAUUAAAAGAUUAAGUUACCUUAGGGAUAACAGCGUAAUUUCUUUGGAGAGUUCUUAUCGAUAAAGAAGUUUGCGACCUCGAUGUUGGAUUAAAAUUAGUUUUAGGUGUAGAAGCUAAAAACUAGGUCCUUGCCCUUCCCUC